UGGGGAAUCUUGCACAAUGGGGGAAACCCUGAUGCAGCGACGCCGCGUGGGCGAAGAAGCCUUUCGGGGUGUAAAGCUCCUACGCCAGGGACGAUAAUGACGGUACCUGGAGAAGCAGCUGCGGCUAACUACGUGCCAGCAGCCGCGGUAAUACGUAGGCAGCAAGCGUUGUUCGGAAUUACUGGGCGUAAAGGGUGCGUAGGCGGCGCCUUAAGUUUGGUGUGAAAUCUCCCGGCUCAACCGGGAGGGUGCACUGAAAACUGGGGCGCUCGAGUGUGGGAGAGGAUAGCGGAAUUCCUGGUGUAGCGGUGAAAUGCGUAGAGAUCAGGAGGAACACCCGCGGUGUAGACGGCUUUCUGGACCAUGACUGACGCUGAGGCACGAAAGCGUGGGGAGCAAACA
This 402-nucleotide ribosomal RNA is filed under the name uncultured bacterium. Its description in RNAcentral is "bacterial SSU rRNA". It matches the Rfam family "Bacterial small subunit ribosomal RNA", at positions 355 to 774 of the family's 1533-position model. The record is from RNAcentral.